AGGUGACCUCGGAUCAGGUAGGGAUACCCGCUGAACU
Molecule: ribosomal RNA, 37 nt
Filed under: Trichophyton mentagrophytes
Lineage: Eukaryota; Fungi; Ascomycota; Eurotiomycetes; Onygenales; Arthrodermataceae
Description: partial 28S ribosomal RNA
Source: RNAcentral